Phrynosoma platyrhinos (Desert horned lizard) is the source of this 72-nucleotide non-coding RNA. Lineage: Eukaryota; Metazoa; Chordata; Lepidosauria; Squamata; Phrynosomatidae. The record is from the annotation of a GenBank genome assembly.
GCCUGCAUAGUGCAGUGGUUUGAGUGUUGGACUAAGACUCUGGAGACCAGGGUUCAAAUCCCCACUUGGCCA